RNAcentral lists this ribosomal RNA (253 nucleotides) under uncultured bacterium. RNAcentral's name for it is "partial 16S ribosomal RNA". It matches the Rfam family "Bacterial small subunit ribosomal RNA", at positions 524 to 776 of the family's 1533-position model. The record is from RNAcentral.
UACGUAGGGCGCAAGCGUUGUCCGGAAUUAUUGGGCGUAAAGAGCUCGUAGGCGGUCUGUCGCGUCUGGUGUGAAAUCCCAUGGCUCAACUGCGGGCUUGCAUCGGGUACGGGCAGACUAGAGUGCUGUAGGGGAGACUGGAAUUCCUGGUGUAGCGGUGGAAUGCGCAGAUAUCAGGAGGAACACCGAUGGCGAAGGCAGGUCUCUGGGCAGUUACUGACGCUGAGGAGCGAAAGCAAGGGGAGCGAACAGG